RNAcentral lists this ribosomal RNA (109 nucleotides) under Scophthalmus maximus (turbot). The record is from RNAcentral. Lineage: Eukaryota; Metazoa; Chordata; Actinopteri; Pleuronectiformes; Scophthalmidae.
GCUUACGGCCACACUGCCUGGUUCACGCCUGAUCUCGGAAGCUAAGAUAGGUUGGGCCUGGUUAGUACUUGGAUGGGAGACCGCCUAGGAAUACCAGGUGCUGUAAGCC